Molecule: ribosomal RNA, 403 nt
Filed under: uncultured bacterium
Lineage: Bacteria
Description: bacterial SSU rRNA
Rfam family: Bacterial small subunit ribosomal RNA
Source: RNAcentral
GGAAUCUUCCACAAUGGGCGAAAGCCUGAUGGAGCAACGCCGCGUGGGUGAAGAAGGUCUUCGGAUUGUAAAGUUCUUUUCUAAGGGAAGAAGAAAGUGACGGUACCUUAGGAAUAAGCCUCGGCUAACUACGUGCCAGCAGCCGCGGUAAUACGUAGGAGGCGAGCGUUAUCCGGAAUGACUGGGCGUAAAGGGUGCGUAGGUGGUUUGGCAAGUUAGUAGCGUAACUCCAAGGCUCAACCUUGGAACUACUACUAAAACUGUUGGACUUGAGUGCAGGAGGGGCAACCGGAAUUCCUAGUGUAGCGGUGGAAUGCGUAGAUAUUAGGAGGAACACCAGUGGCGAAGGCGGGUUGCUAGACUGUAACUGACACUGAGGCACGAAAGCGUGGGGAGCAAACAG